CCCGGUGACCAUAGCGAGGGGGAAACACCCGUUCCCAUUCCGAACACGACCGUUAAGACCCUCUGCGGCGAUGGUACUGAGAUGUAGAUCUCGGGAGAGUAGCACGUUGCCGGGU
RNAcentral lists this ribosomal RNA (115 nucleotides) under Kiritimatiellia bacterium. Lineage: Bacteria; Pseudomonadati; Kiritimatiellota; Kiritimatiellia. The record is from RNAcentral.